UGCGAAACUCGAAUGAACGAACGGGGAGAUUCAUCGUUAUUCCGCGGCGUGGUGUCGCACUCUCGAUGUCGUGCGGCCUCGGCCGUACGGCACGGGGUGUGGCGUUCGACGUUCGCGGACGGCGUGCACUUCUCCCUUAGUAAUGCAUCGCGACCCGUUCGAUGUCGGUCUAUGCGCCGUUCGGGAGUCGCACCUGUCCCUUCGGGGCGCAGGGGCGACCGGAUCGGUCCGCCGACCGGCUGUCGGACGGUAUUUCAACGGAUCGCGUACGCGUUUAUGCGCGUCCGGCCCGACGCAAGGCUACGUCGUUCAUCUCCGUCCUGCCCGAGCGCGGGCGGGGGUGCGGCGCGCCUGUUGUCGCAGCCGUGCUGUCUCGGACUGUACGCGUCCCGUGUCUGC
RNAcentral lists this ribosomal RNA (399 nucleotides) under Horisme nr. obscurata EO-2016. RNAcentral describes it as "partial 28S ribosomal RNA". Lineage: Eukaryota; Metazoa; Arthropoda; Insecta; Lepidoptera; Geometridae. The record is from RNAcentral.